Molecule: small RNA, 60 nt
Filed under: Sinorhizobium meliloti 2011
Lineage: Bacteria; Pseudomonadati; Pseudomonadota; Alphaproteobacteria; Hyphomicrobiales; Rhizobiaceae
Description: putative ncRNA
Source: RNAcentral
AUGAAACAGCGAUCCGUGACCUCGAGCACGUCCUGCCAGCGGUUCGAGUUGUUUUCGUCC